RNAcentral lists this ribosomal RNA (729 nucleotides) under uncultured Arthrobacter sp. RNAcentral describes it as "bacterial SSU rRNA". It matches the Rfam family "Bacterial small subunit ribosomal RNA", at positions 56 to 795 of the family's 1533-position model. The record is from RNAcentral. Lineage: Bacteria; Bacillati; Actinomycetota; Actinomycetes; Micrococcales; Micrococcaceae.
UGCAAGUCGAACGAUGAUCCCAGCUUGCUGGGGGAUUAGUGGCGAACGGGUGAGUAACACGUGAGUAACCUGCCCUUGACUCUGGGAUAAGCCUGGGAAACUGGGUCUAAUACCGGAUACGACCAUCUGGCGCAUGUCAUGGUGGUGGAAAGCUUUUGAGGUUUUGGAUGGACUCGCGGCCUAUCAGCUUGUUGGUGGGUUAAUGGCCUACCAAGGCGACGACGGGUAGCCGGCCUGAGAGGGUGACCGGCCACACUGGGACUGAGACACGGCCCAGACUCCUACGGGAGGCAGCAGUGGGGAAUAUUGCACAAUGGGCGCAAGCCUGAUGCAGCGACGCCGCGUGAGGGAUGACGGCCUUCGGGUUGUAAACCUCUUUCAGUAGGGAAGAAGCGUAAGUGACGGUACCUGCAGAAGAAGCGCCGGCUAACUACGUGCCAGCAGCCGCGGUAAUACGUAGGGCGCAAGCGUUAUCCGGAAUUAUUGGGCGUAAAGAGCUCGUAGGCGGUUUGUCGCGUCUGCUGUGAAAGACCGGGGCUCAACUCCGGUUCUGCAGUGGGUACGGGCAGACUAGAGUGCAGUAGGGGAGACUGGAAUUCCUGGUGUAGCGGUGAAAUGCGCAGAUAUCAGGAGGAACACCGAUGGCGAAGGCAGGUCUCUGGGCUGUAACUGACGCUGAGGAGCGAAAGCAUGGGGAGCGAACAGGAUUAGAUACCCUGGUAGAAGGGC